GAUGAACGCUGGCGGCGUGCUUAACACAUGCAAGUCGAACGGUGAACACGGAGCUUGCUCUGUGGGAUCAGUGGCGAACGGGUGAGUAACACGUGAGCAACCUGCCCCUGACUCUGGGAUAAGCGCUGGAAACGGCGUCUAAUACUGGAUAUGUGACGUGACCGCAUGGUCUGCGUUUGGAAAGAUUUUUCGGUUGGGGAUGGGCUCGCGGCCUAUCAGCUUGUUGGUGAGGUAAUGGCUCACCAAGGCGUCGACGGGUAGCCGGCCUGAGAGGGUGACCGGCCAGACUGGGACGGAGGCGCGGACGAGGCGCCUCCGGGAGGCAGCAGGGGGGAAUGGGGGACAAUGGGCGGGAGGCUGAUGAAGAAUCGGCGCGGGAGGGAGGACGGCAUUCGGGGAGUAAACCAAAUGUAGCAGGGAAGCAGCGAAAGAGACGGGAAGUGAAGAAAAAGCGCAGGCCAACCCAGUG
Molecule: ribosomal RNA, 469 nt
Filed under: uncultured bacterium
Lineage: Bacteria
Description: partial 16S ribosomal RNA
Rfam family: Bacterial small subunit ribosomal RNA
Source: RNAcentral